AAAAAUAUCGGUAAGUCUUAC
This 21-nucleotide small RNA is filed under the name Arabidopsis thaliana (thale cress). RNAcentral's name for it is "ATSL103200". The record is from RNAcentral. Lineage: Eukaryota; Viridiplantae; Streptophyta; Magnoliopsida; Brassicales; Brassicaceae.